This 1372-nucleotide ribosomal RNA is filed under the name uncultured bacterium. Its description in RNAcentral is "bacterial SSU rRNA". It matches the Rfam family "Bacterial small subunit ribosomal RNA", at positions 28 to 1381 of the family's 1533-position model. The record is from RNAcentral.
GAUGAACGCUGGCGGCGUGCCUAAUACAUGCAAGUCGAGCGAACGGACGAGAAGCUUGCUUCUCUGAUGUUAGCGGCGGACGGGUGAGUAACACGUGGAUAACCUACCUAUAAGACUGGGAUAACUUCGGGAAACCGGAGCUAAUACCGGAUAAUAUUUUGAACCGCAUGGUUCAAAAGUGAAAGACGGUCUUGCUGUCACUUAUAGAUGGAUCCGCGCUGCAUUAGCUAGUUGGUAAGGUAACGGCUUACCAAGGCAACGAUGCAUAGCCGACCUGAGAGGGUGAUCGGCCACACUGGAACUGAGACACGGUCCAGACUCCUACGGGAGGCAGCAGUAGGGAAUCUUCCGCAAUGGGCGAAAGCCUGACGGAGCAACGCCGCGUGAGUGAUGAAGGUCUUCGGAUCGUAAAACUCUGUUAUUAGGGAAGAACAUAUGUGUAAGUAACUGUGCACAUCUUGACGGUACCUAAUCAGAAAGCCACAGCUAACUACGUGCCAGCAGCCGCGGUAAUACGUAGGUGGCAAGCGUUAUCCGGAAUUAUUGGGCGUAAAGCGCGCGUAGGCGGUUUUUUAAGUCUGAUGUGAAAGCCCACGGCUCAACCGUGGAGGGUCAUUGGAAACUGGAAAACUUGAGUGCAGAAGAGGAAAGUGGAAUUCCAUGUGUAGCGGUGAAAUGCGCAGAGAUAUGGAGGAACACCAGUGGCGAAGGCGACUUUCUGGUCUGUAACUGACGCUGAUGUGCGAAAGCGUGGGGAUCAAACAGGAUUAGAUACCCUGGUAGUCCACGCCGUAAACGAUGAGUGCUAAGUGUUAGGGGGUUUCCGCCCCUUAGUGCUGCAGCUAACGCAUUAAGCACUCCGCCUGGGGAGUACGACCGCAAGGUUGAAACUCAAAGGAAUUGACGGGGACCCGCACAAGCGGUGGAGCAUGUGGUUUAAUUCGAAGCAACGCGAAGAACCUUACCAAAUCUUGACAUCCUUUGACAACUCUAGAGAUAGAGCUUUCCCCUUCGGGGGACAAAGUGACAGGUGGUGCAUGGUUGUCGUCAGCUCGUGUCGUGAGAUGUUGGGUUAAGUCCCGCAACGAGCGCAACCCUUAAACUUAGUUGCCAUCAUUAAGUUGGGCACUCUAAGUUGACUGCCGGUGACAAACCGGAGGAAGGUGGGGAUGACGUCAAAUCAUCAUGCCCCUUAUGAUUUGGGCUACACACGUGCUACAAUGGACAAUACAAAGGGCAGCGAAACCGCGAGGUCAAGCAAAUCCCAUAAAGUUGUUCUCAGUUCGGAUUGUAGUCUGCAACUCGACUACAUGAAGCUGGAAUCGCUAGUAAUCGUAGAUCAGCAUGCUACGGUGAAUACGUUCCCGGGUCU